RNAcentral lists this long non-coding RNA (959 nucleotides) under Heterocephalus glaber (naked mole-rat). RNAcentral describes it as "lncRNA (ENSHGLG00000038281.1)". Lineage: Eukaryota; Metazoa; Chordata; Mammalia; Rodentia; Bathyergidae. The record is from RNAcentral.
GACCUCACUUCCUGUGGUGAUUACCUCACUUCCUGUGCUAGGCCCCACCUCCUGAAGGUCCCCCUACCUCCCAACAGCUCCAAUAUGGGGCCACAGCCUUCCACACCUGGGCCUUCGGGAGAUGCUCAGAACCCAGCCUACAGCACACCCUCCCCACGGUCAUUUCAGAGUUCGAGGUGCACUAUCUGGAGCUUGGGAAGGACAGGAAGAUGACAAUGAGCUGAGCUGUGGCCAACGCUCAGUCCAGGGAGCACCCUCUGCUCCUCUGUUUGAGCUGAUGAAGCCCCCCAACGUUGACUUGGCUGCUAAGACUGAUUUCCCCAGACCCAUGAAGAAAGGCCCCAGCCCUGAGUGGCUCCCUGCUUUGGAAAAUAACGUCAGUGACAACCCUGUGCAGGCACAGUCCAGGGAAGAGAGGCUCUGGGGUUGGCAUGCCCCUGCCCUCCCUGGGCCUUUCUGCAAGUGAGGAGUGGACCAUGGCGGUGGGUGGGCAGAAGGACGUCUGUAUACCCUUCCUGGAAGCCCCGCCUAGCCCUCAAGAGGUUCUUGAUCCAAGGAGGAGAGCGACUCAGCCUUCUCUCUCUUCCUUCUCCGAACUGUGGCUUCCAGCUGCCUCGACAGCAAGAGUUGGCCCUCUGCCCUUGCCAAGCCCCUGGGGCCCCUGUCAUCAGCAGAGGUCACCUUCCUCAUGGGGCGCUGGGCUCCAGGAGAAGACAGAGCAAUGGUGCGCAGCUGGAGAAGGACCUGAGUGACACCCCUUGGUCUGGAGGUGCCCACCUCCCGUGUGAGGAGCUUCCAAGGCCAGGAGCCCCUCCAACAUGCCAGCGCCUGGACCACAGGCCAGCAGCCCUCACCAGGAAACCCCUGUGAACUCUCAAAGAAGCAGCGGGAGGCAUGGAAUUAGAAGCAUUUAAUCCUCACCUCCUCCCCACCAGGAAAAUAAAAACCCAACAUCACAG